RNAcentral lists this microRNA (23 nucleotides) under Haemonchus contortus (barber pole worm). RNAcentral's name for it is "hco-miR-5960". The record is from miRBase by way of RNAcentral. Lineage: Eukaryota; Metazoa; Nematoda; Chromadorea; Rhabditida; Trichostrongylidae.
GUGGUCCGGAGUCGGAGGGUUAU